GCCUACGGGACGCAGCAGUGAGGAAUAUUGGUCAAUGGGCGGGAGCCUGAACCAGCCAAGUCGCGUGAGGGAAGACGGUCCUAUGGAUUGUAAACCUCUUUAGGCGGGGAGCAAUGCCGGGCACGCGUGCCCGGAGGGAGAGUACCCGCAGAGCAAGCAUCGGCUAACUCCGUGCCAGCAGCCGCGGUAAUAAGGAGGAUGCGAGCGUUAUCCGGAUUUAUUGGGUUUAAAGGGUGCGUAGGCGGAUUUUUAAGUCAGCGGUAAAAUGUCCGGGCGCAAACCGGGCCGGCAGUUGAAACUGGGGG
This 305-nucleotide ribosomal RNA is filed under the name uncultured bacterium. RNAcentral's name for it is "bacterial SSU rRNA". It matches the Rfam family "Bacterial small subunit ribosomal RNA", at positions 337 to 639 of the family's 1533-position model. The record is from RNAcentral.